CCCUUAGAUGUCCGGGGCCGCACGCGCGCUUCACUGAAGGAAUCAGCGUGGCUUUCUCCCUGACCCGAAAGGGUUGGGAAACCCGUUGAAUCUCCUUCGUGAUAGGGAUUGGGGCUUGAAAUUGUUCCCCAUGAACGAGGAAUUCCCAGUAAGCGCGAGUCAUAAGCUCGCGUUGAUUACGUCCCUGCCCUUUGUACACACCGCCCGUCGCUACUACCGAUUGAACGGUUUAGUGAGGGCCUCGGAUUGGUCUCGGCCCGCUCUUUACCGGGCGGCGCCGUUGGUCGAGAAGACGCUCGAACUUGAUCGUUUAGAGGAAGUAAAAGUCGUAACA
RNAcentral lists this ribosomal RNA (334 nucleotides) under uncultured eukaryote. RNAcentral describes it as "partial 18S ribosomal RNA". It matches the Rfam family "Eukaryotic small subunit ribosomal RNA", at positions 1470 to 1796 of the family's 1831-position model. The record is from RNAcentral.